GGUUGUACCAUGGCGUUGGUCAAGAUGGGUUCGACUCGCAGGAUUAGGGUGGGAGGGAGGUGGUUCGCACUUCGGUGUGAAUGUUAUAUCCUUGCACCUUUGCUGUGGGUUGGACCGAGGUCAACCUUGCGCCUCUGGCUGAGCUCUGCUCAUGCAAGGUACGGAUCUUGACGAAAUGGUUUUCUUUCACCCGUCUUGAAACACGGACCAAGGAGUCUAACAUAUAUGCGAGUACAGGGGUGGCAAACCCCCGUGCGCAAUGAAAGUAAAGGGCUGCUUCUGCGGUCUGAGGUGGGAUCUGUCAAAGGUGCACCAUCGACCGACCAUGAUUCUUCGGAUGAAAGGUUUGAGUGUGAGCAUUUAUGUUGGGACCCGAAAGAUGGUGAACUAUGCCUGAGUAGGGCGAAGCCAGGGGAAACUCUGGUGGAGGCUCGUAGCGAUUGUGACGUGCAAAUCCAUCGUGACUGGAUAGCUU
RNAcentral lists this ribosomal RNA (475 nucleotides) under Microchloropsis gaditana. RNAcentral describes it as "eukaryotic LSU rRNA". It matches the Rfam family "Eukaryotic large subunit ribosomal RNA", at positions 459 to 923 of the family's 3401-position model. The record is from RNAcentral. Lineage: Eukaryota; Eustigmatophyceae; Eustigmatales; Monodopsidaceae.